Thamnophis sirtalis is the source of this 276-nucleotide non-coding RNA. NCBI's taxonomy places the organism in Eukaryota, Metazoa, Chordata, Lepidosauria, Squamata, Natricidae. The record is from RefSeq and is a predicted model, not a curated record.
GGCCGUGAAUCGCCUACAGGCACUGCAUCGGCGCUUGUGCACCGAACUGGGAAACGAAAAGGGACUGGAGUCCAAAAUCACGGCAGCCCUAAAUGAAAGCGUGUUCGAAAUGUGGAAGAUUGAAAUAGAGCAAGGGAACUUCGCCAAACUCCGCAAGCAGCUCAAAGUGGACGAGGCAGAGCUGGAUCAGCAGCGGCAAGACCAGGCUGAGGAGAGGCUCCAGAAACAGAACGACUUGGCCCAGCUCUUGAGCCAAAAAUGGCAGAGCAACGAAAG